UGUCCUGUAAGCUCAGUGGUUAGAGCACUUGCCUCAAAAGCGAGAGACCUAGGUUUGAUCCCUGGCAGGGCGA
Callorhinchus milii (elephant shark) is the source of this 73-nucleotide non-coding RNA. NCBI's taxonomy places the organism in Eukaryota, Metazoa, Chordata, Chondrichthyes, Chimaeriformes, Callorhinchidae. The record is from the annotation of a RefSeq genome assembly.